Molecule: ribosomal RNA, 253 nt
Filed under: uncultured bacterium
Lineage: Bacteria
Description: partial 16S ribosomal RNA
Rfam family: Bacterial small subunit ribosomal RNA
Source: RNAcentral
UACGGAGGGUGCGAGCGUUGUCCGGAGUUACUGGGCGUAAAGGGUGCGCAGGCGGCCUGGCGCGUCGCGAGUGAAAUCUCCUGGCUCAACUGGGAGGGUGGUCGCGAGACGGCUGGGCUUGAGGCUUGGUGAGGGGCGUGGAAUUCCGGGUGGAGCGGUGAAAUGCGUAGAGAUCCGGAGGAACACCGACGGCGUAGGCAGCGCCCUAGACGAGACCUGACGCUCAGGCACGAAAGCGCGGGGAGCGAACAGG